Molecule: ribosomal RNA, 207 nt
Filed under: uncultured bacterium
Lineage: Bacteria
Description: partial 16S ribosomal RNA
Rfam family: Bacterial small subunit ribosomal RNA
Source: RNAcentral
CGUGUAGGUGGUGUUAUAAGUUGGUUGUGAAAUCCCUGGGCUUAACCUAGGAAUGGCAAUCAAGACUAUAAGACUAGAGUACGGUAGAGGGUAGUGGAGUUUCCGGUGUAGCGGUGAAAUGCGUAGAGAUCGGAAGGAACACCAGUGGCGAAGGCGGCUACCUGGACUGAUACUGACACUGAGGCGCGAGAGCGUGGGGAGCAAACA